UCGGGAAUAUUGGGCAAUGGAGGCAACUCUGACCCAGCAACGCCGCGUGAAGGAUGAAGGCCUUCGGGUCGUAAACUUCUGUCGAGAGGGAAGAACUGCGUAAGGUUAAUACCCUUGCGUUUGACGGUACCUCCAAAGGAAGCACCGGCUAACUCCGUGCCAGCAGCCGCGGUAAUACGGAGGGUGCAAGCGUUGUUCGGAUUUAUUGGGCGUAAAGCGAGUGUAGGCGGUUUGUCGAGUCGGGUGUGAAAUCCCAGGGCCCAACCCUGGAACUGCACCCGAUACUGGCAGGCUAGAGUCCCGGAGAGGAUGGCGGAAUUCCCGGUGUAGGGGUGAAAUCCGUAGAUAUCGGGAGGAACACCAGUGGCGAAGGCGGCCAUCUGGACGGUGACUGACGCUGAGACUCGAAAGCGUGGGUAGCAAACAGGAUUAGAUACCCCCGUAGUCC
RNAcentral lists this ribosomal RNA (448 nucleotides) under uncultured prokaryote. Its description in RNAcentral is "bacterial SSU rRNA". It matches the Rfam family "Bacterial small subunit ribosomal RNA", at positions 355 to 796 of the family's 1533-position model. The record is from RNAcentral.